Molecule: ribosomal RNA, 253 nt
Filed under: uncultured bacterium
Lineage: Bacteria
Description: partial 16S ribosomal RNA
Rfam family: Bacterial small subunit ribosomal RNA
Source: RNAcentral
UACGUAGGGUGCAAGCGUUGUCCGGAAUUAUUGGGCGUAAAGAGCUCGUAGGCGGUCUGUUGCGUCGGCUGUGAAAACCCGGGGCUCAACCCCGGGCCUGCAGCCGAUACGGGCAGACUAGAGUUCGGCAGGGGAGACUGGAAUUCCUGGUGUAGCGGUGAAAUGCGCAGAUAUCAGGAGGAACACCGGUGGCGAAGGCGGGUCUCUGGGCAGUAACUGACGCUGAGGAGCGAAAGCGUGGGGAGCGAACAGG